RNAcentral lists this ribosomal RNA (403 nucleotides) under uncultured bacterium. RNAcentral's name for it is "bacterial SSU rRNA". It matches the Rfam family "Bacterial small subunit ribosomal RNA", at positions 355 to 775 of the family's 1533-position model. The record is from RNAcentral.
UGGGGAAUAUUGGACAAUGGGCGCAAGCCUGAUCCAGCCAUGCCGCGUGAGUGAUGACGGCCUUAGGGUUGUAAAGCUCUUUCGUCCGGGACGAUAAUGACGGUACCGGAAGAAGAAGCCCCGGCUAACUUCGUGCCAGCAGCCGCGGUAAUACGAAGGGGGCUAGCGUUGUUCGGAAUCACUGGGCGUAAAGGGCGCGUAGGCGGCCUGAUAAGUCGGGGGUGAAAGCCUGUGGCUCAACCACAGAAUUGCCUUCGAUACUGUCGGGCUUGAGACCGGAAGAGGUAAGUGGAACUGCGAGUGUAGAGGUGAAAUUCGUAGAUAUUCGCAAGAACACCAGUGGCGAAGGCGGCUUACUGGUCCGGUUCUGACGCUGAGGCGCGAAAGCGUGGGGAGCAAACAG